GGACCAACAAGCCCAGCGAGGCCAGCACCAGCAGCGGGCGACGGCCCACACAGUCACUCCACGAACCCAGCAGGGUGGACGAGAAGAGCCCCACCAGGAAGCCGCCCACAUUCAUGUAGAGCGUCCAGUGGGAGGCUCGGCUGCUAUCUGGGACAUGCCGCUUACCUCCCUGUGCCUCAGUUUCGUCAUCUUUAACAUGGAGAUGCUAAUAGAACUUGCCUCAAAGAGUUGCUGUGGAAGAAUGGUGUCUGGUACACUAUAGCCACCUGAUGACAGGGGCUUUGUUUUCUUCACUGCUGCAUCUCCACUACCUAGAAAAAUGCCUGGCACAUGGUAGAUGUUCAGAAAGUGGUACUUGAAUGAAUAAAUGAACCCCUCAAGGAGAAAGGAUUUCCUGGCUGGAGCCCCAGAGCACAAGGAGAGGCUUGCCUGUGUGGAGCUACCCGUGGAGGCCAGAGUCCAAGAAUCUAGACAAAGAAGAAAGCCGAGAGAUCACAUCUUUGCCUGUGUGCCCUUCUAAAAGAUGAGGAAAUUGAGGUCCAGAGAGAGAAGUGACUUUAUCCAGGAGAAGCUAAACAUUUCUGCCCUUUCAAAUCCUUAAAAGAAAGAAGUGAUUGAAAAAUAAAACAUCUGUAGAUUUAA
Long non-coding RNA from Phyllostomus hastatus (greater spear-nosed bat), 642 nucleotides. RefSeq lists it as uncharacterized. The transcript is spliced from 3 exons. The record is from RefSeq and is a predicted model, not a curated record. Lineage: Eukaryota; Metazoa; Chordata; Mammalia; Chiroptera; Phyllostomidae.